RNAcentral lists this ribosomal RNA (502 nucleotides) under Streptococcus infantis. RNAcentral's name for it is "partial 23S ribosomal RNA". It matches the Rfam family "Bacterial large subunit ribosomal RNA", at positions 1015 to 1527 of the family's 2925-position model. Lineage: Bacteria; Bacillati; Bacillota; Bacilli; Lactobacillales; Streptococcaceae. The record is from RNAcentral.
AAGGGAAAGAGCCCAGACCGCCGGCUAAGGUCCCCAAGUGGGUGUUAAGUGGAAAAGGAUGUGGGAUCUCUAAGACAACCAGGAUGUUGGCUCAGAAGCAGCCAUUCAUUAAAAGAGUGCGUAACAGCUCACUAGUCGAGAGGUCCUGCGCCGAAAAUGUCCGGGGCUGAAACACAACACCGAAGCUGCGGAACCCGCAAGGGUUGGUAGAGGAGCAUUCUUAAAGGAACGAAGCAGUACCGGAAGGAGCUGUGGACUUUUAAGAAGAGAGAAUGCCGGAAUGAGUAGCGAGAGUAAGGUGAGAAUCCUUGCGGCCGAAUAUCCAAGGUUUCCAGAGUAAAGCUGAUCUGCUCUGGGUAAGUCGGGGCCUAAGGAGAGGCAGAGAUGCGUAUCCGAUGGACAGCAGGUUUAAGAUUCCUGCACCCCUUGUUAUCAGAACUGCGGGGACACGGGAAGGGAAGCAGAGCCGGGAAUGGAAAGCCCGGUGCAAGCGAAGGAGUCG